Molecule: long non-coding RNA, 1303 nt
Organism: Xenopus laevis (African clawed frog)
Lineage: Eukaryota; Metazoa; Chordata; Amphibia; Anura; Pipidae
Exons: 3
Source: RefSeq, a predicted model, not a curated record
UACUGAUUAGGGAACGUGGAUUUUUACUGUGGAAGGGAAGAAGGAAGUACUAGUUAAUUGCUGCCUCUGUGACUCAUUGAAAUGAAUAGCUCUGGCACAGGCUCCAAGCAUGUACCUGUGGGCAGCUCUGCUCGUUGCUAAGCAACGACCCCAGAAUCUCCAGCAGGCUCGCUUUGUUAUAUAGUGCCUGGAUGAUUGGCAGGGACACGGCUAGGUUUCAGCAAUGUGAAACUGUCGCGCCACUGCAGGAUCGUCUGGAGGGAAGGUGUGAUUUUUGUGUCCCUAUACAGCUGCAGUUUUCUGUGCUUCAAUCAUCUUCAAGGUGGCUGUAGACAUAUGCAUUUUUGAUCUUCAUUCAACAGUAUAUAAAGAUAAAGAUGAUAUAAUUGAGCAAAACACAAGGAAAUACUGUGGAAAAAGGAGUUGUAAGUGCAGAACAAGAUGUCACUGAAACCAUGGAGGCAGAAAUGAUAAACACAUCCCAGAUCCAGACAACAACAACAGAGCAUGUCUACUGUGAUUAACUCUUCAACCAAUGCCUUUGUCUCGUGUUUUCUCGAUUUUGCUUGGUAAUAAUACAUAUCUUGACAAUGUAGAGUGCAUCCCUUCAGCUUAGAAACUCAUAUCUUCCUGUAACGGUUUUUAAGAGACAAACACCUCCAGCAAUGGGAUCGUUCUGGUCUAAAAACUAGUUCACUCCUUUGUGCAGUGGAGUGUGAUGGAUAUUAAUAUUUUAAUGACCUUCUUUGGUCUAAAGGUGUUAACCCAUUCAUAGUAAGAAUGAUUGUCUCUCCUGCAGAGCUAGCAUAAGUCUUACUCUAAAAACACUCCCCGGUGUUAGUGUGAUGCCUGCUGUACAGUAUGUCUGUAAUGAGAAUGCUCUAGGGGCCAAUGUUUUACUCCGUGUCUUGCAGAGAGAUGAAAGCAACAGAAUGGAGCACAUUAUUCCAGCAUCAGAGCAUAGAGAGAAUAUAUUCCAUAGUUUUUGCUUUAUUGUUUAAUAUUGGGUUGCAUGUGAGUGGGAAUUUAUCCCCCCCUGAUAAAUAUGAUGGAUGCAUGCUUCUGUCAUUUAAAGACACAGCUAAACUUUUUAAGGGGUACUGUAUAUAAUAUAUUUGUCCAUUAACCUGCCUCAACUAAACAUUGAUAUAACCCUUUUUUGUUGAGUAAUUGUGUGACUUCCACCCCAGACAAUCUUUGUUUUCCAUGUAAUUGUCAUUUGCUGCUAUCUUAACUCACUUCUCCCCAUGCUCAUAUUCCCCAUCCAUGUGCAUAUGCACAAUAAUUAUAUGAAUAAAAAUAA